RNAcentral lists this ribosomal RNA (253 nucleotides) under uncultured bacterium. RNAcentral describes it as "partial 16S ribosomal RNA". It matches the Rfam family "Bacterial small subunit ribosomal RNA", at positions 524 to 776 of the family's 1533-position model. The record is from RNAcentral.
UACGUAGGGUGCGAGCGUUGUCCGGAAUUAUUGGGCGUAAAGGGCUCGUAGGCGGUUUGUCGCGUCGGGAGUGAAAUCCACUGGCUUAACUGGUGGCUUGCUUUCGAUACGGGCAGACUGGAGGUAUGCAGGGGAGAACGGAAUUCCUGGUGUAGCGGUGAAAUGCGCAGAUAUCAGGAGGAACACCGGUGGCGAAGGCGGGUCUCUGGGCCGAUACUGACGCUGAGGAGCGAAAGCAUGGGUAGCGAACAGG